AUCCUCCAAGGCUAAAUACUCCUGAUUGACCGAUAGUGAACCAGUACCGUGAGGGAAAGGCGAAAAGAACCCCGGCGAGGGGAGUGAAAAAGAACCUGAAACCGUGUACGUACAAGCAGUAGGAGCCCCAUCACUCAAGUGCCUCGCACUGAGUGAUGCAAGAACAUCACCGAAAAUAGCGCCGAAUUUGCUAACAAGGUUGGUCGAUUUUUUCAAGCUGUCGCGCAGUGUACCUAGAAGUACACGAGCAACGGAAGUUAAAAAAUCGGGCAAGAUUGAACGCAAAGGCAAGCGGGACAUUUGAGGAUGGGGUGACUGCGUACCUUUUGUAUAAUGGGUCAGCGACUUAUAUUCUGUAGCGAGGUUAACCGCAUAGGGGAGCCGUAGGGAAACCGAGUCUUAACUGGGCGAAUGAGUUGCAGGGUAUAGACCCGAAACCCGGUGAUCUAUCCAUGGGCAGGUUGAAGGUUGGGUAACACUAACUGGAGGACCGAACCGACUAAUGUUGAAAAAUUAGCGGAUGACUUGUGGAUGGGGGUGAAAGGCCAAUCAAACCGGGAGAUAGCUGGUUCUCCCCGAAAGCUAUUUAGGUAGCGCCUCGUGAACUCAUCUUCGGGGGUAGAGCACUGUUUCGACUAGGGGGUCAUCCCGACUUACCAACUCGAUGCAAACUGCGAAUACCGAAGAAUGUUAUCACGGGAGACACACGGCGGGUGCUAACGUCCGUCGUGAAGAGGGAAACAACCCAGACCGCCAGCUAAGGUCCCAAAGUCAUGGUUAAGUGGGAAACGAAGUGGGAAGGCUCAGACAGCCAGGAUGUUGGCUUAGAAGCAGCCAUCAUUUAAAGAAAGCGUAAUAGCUCACUGGUCGAGUCGGCCCGCGCGGAAGAUGUAACGGGGCUAAACCAUGCACCGAAGCUGCGGCAGCGA
This 929-nucleotide ribosomal RNA is filed under the name Proteus mirabilis. RNAcentral describes it as "partial 23S ribosomal RNA". It matches the Rfam family "Bacterial large subunit ribosomal RNA", at positions 455 to 1211 of the family's 2925-position model. The record is from RNAcentral. Lineage: Bacteria; Pseudomonadati; Pseudomonadota; Gammaproteobacteria; Enterobacterales; Morganellaceae.